AGUGACACAGUAACAGAGGGAUUGAGGGCCCUGCUCAGUGAGUUUACAUGUUAGAGGUAGUGGGGUAUAGUGACACAGUAACAGAGGGAUUGAGGCCCUGCUCAGUGUUUACAUGCUAGAGGAAGUGGGGUAUAGUGACACAGUAACAGAGGGAUUAAGGGCCUGCUCAAUAAUCUUACAUGCUAGAGGGAGUGGGGUAUAGUGACACAGUAACAGAGGGAUUGAGGGCCCUGCUCAGUGAGUUUACAUGUUAGAGGGAGUGGGGUAUAGUGACAGUAACAGGGAUUGAGGGCCUGCUCAGUGAGUUUACAUGUUAGAGGGAGUGGGGUAUAGUGACACAGUAACAGAGGGAUUGAGGCCCUGCUCAGUGAGUUUACAUGCUAGAGGGAGUGGGGUAUAGUGACACAGUAACAGGGAUUGAGGCCCUGCUCAGUGAGUUUACAUGUUAGAGGGAGUGGGGUAUAGUGACACAGUAACAGAGGGAUUGAGGGCCCUGCUCAGUGAGUUUACAUGUUAGAGGGGGUGGGGUAUAGUGACACAGUAACAGAGGGAUUGAGGGCCUGCUCAGUGAGUUUACAUGUUAGAGGGAGUGGGGUAUAGUGGCACAGUAACAGAGGGAUUUAGGGCCUGCUCAGUGAGUUUACAUGUUAGAGGAGUGGGGUAUAGUGACAGUAACAGAGGGAUUGAGGCCCUGCUCAGUGAGUUUACAUGUUAGNNNNNNNNNNNNNNNNNNNNNNNNNNNNNNNNNNNNNNNNNNNNNNNNNNNNNNNNNNNNNNNNNNNNNNNNNNNNNNNNNNNNNNNNNNNNNNNNNNNNUAACAGAGGGAUUGAGGGCCUGCUCAGUGAGUUUACAUGUUAGAGGGAGUGGGGUAUAGUGUAACAGAGGGAUUGAGGCCCUGCUCAGUGAGGUUACAUGUUAGAGGGAGUGGGGUAUAGUGACACAGUAACAGAGGGAUUGAGGCCCUGCUCAGUGAGUUUACAUGUUAGAGGGAGUGGGGUAUGGUGAAACAGUAACAGAGGGAUUGAGGGCCUGCUCAGUGAGUUUAUAUGUUAGAGGGAGUGGGGUAUAGUGACACAGUAACAGAGGGAUUGAGGGCCUGCUCAAUGAGAUUACAAACUACAGGGAGUGGGGUAUAGUGACACAGUAACAGAGGGAUUGAAGGCCCUGCUCAAUGAGAUUACAUACUACAGGGAAUGGGGUAUAGUGACACAGUAACAGAGGGAUUGAGGGUCUGAUCAGUGAGUUUACAUGCUAGAAGGAGUGGGGUAUAGUGACAGUAACAGAGGGAUUGAGGGCCUGCUCAGUGAGUUUACAUAUUAGAGGGAGUGGGGUGUAGUGACACAGUAACAGAGGGAUUGAGGGUCCUGCUCAGUGAGUUUACAUGUUAGAGGGAGUGGGGUAUAGUGACACAGUAACAGAGGGAUUGAGGGCCCCGCUCAGUGAGUUUACAUGUUAGAGGGAGUGGGGUAUAGUGACACAGUAACAGAGGGAUUGAAGGCCCUGCUCAAUGAGAUUACAUACUACAGGGAGUGGGGUAUAGUGACACAGUAACAGAGGGAUUGAGGGCCUGCUCAGUGAGUUUACAUGUUAGGGGGAGUGGGGUAUAGUGACAGUAACAGAGGGAUUGAGGGCCUGCUCAGUGAAUUUACAUGUUAGGGGGAGUGGUGUAUAGUGACACAGUAAAAGAGGGAUUGAGGGCUUGCUUAGUGAGUUUACAUGUUAGAGGGAGUGGGGUGUAGUGACACAGUAACAGAGGGAUUGAUGGACCUGCUCAGUGAGCUUACAUGUUAGAGGGAGUGGGGUAUAGUAAAGUGACACAGUAACACAGGGAUUGAGGGCCUGCUCAGUGAGUUUACAAGUUAGAAGGAGUGGGGUAUAGUGACACAGUAACAGAGGGACUGAGGGCCUGUUCAGUGAGUUUACAUGCUAAAGGGAGUGGGGUAUAGUAAAGUGACACAGUUACACAGGGAUUGAGGGCCUGCUCAGUGAGUUUCCAAGUUAGAUUGAGUGGGGUAUAGUGACACAGUAACAGAGGGAUUGAGGGCCUGCUCAAUGAGAUUACAAACUACAGGGAGUGGGGUAUAGUGACACAGUAACAGAGGGAUUGAAGGCCCUGCUCAAUGAGAUUACAUACUACAGGGAAUGGGGUAUAGUGACACAGUAACAGAGGGAUUGAGGGCCUGCUCAGUGAGUUUACAUAUUAGAGGGAGUGGGGUAUAGUGACACAGUAACAGAGGGAUUGAGGGCCUGCUCAAUGAGUUUACAUGCUAGAAGGAGUGGGGUAUAGUGACACAGUAACAGAGGGAUUGAGGGCCCUGCUCAGAGAGUUUACAUGUUAGAGGGAGUGGGGUAUAGUGACACAGUAACAGAGGGAUUGAGGCCCCUGCUCAGAGAGUUUACAUGUUAGAGGGAAUGGGGUAUAGUGACACAGUAACAGAGGGAUUGAGGGCCCUGCUCCGUGAGUUUACAUGUUAGAGAGAGUGGGGUAUAGUGACACAGUAACUGAGGGAUUGAGGGCUUGCUCAGUCAGUUUACAUGUUAGAUGGAGUGGGGUAUAGUGACACAGUAACAGAGGGAUAGAGGGCCCUGCUCAGUGAGUUUACAUGCUAGAGGGAGUGGGGUAUAGUGACACUGUAACAGAGGGAUUGAGAGCCUGCUCAGUGAGUUUACAUGUUAGAGGGAGUGGGGUAUAGUGACACAGUAACAGAGGGACUGAGGGAGUGGGGUAUAGUGACAUAGUAACAGAGGGACUGAUGGCCCUGCUCAGUGAGCUUACAUGUUAGAGGGAGUGGGGUAUAGUGAGACUGUAAGCGAGGGAUUGAGGGCCCUGCUCAGUGAGCUUACAUGCUAGAGGGAGUGGGGUAUAGUGACACAGUAACAGAGGGAUUGAAGGCCUGCUCACUGAGCUUACAUGUUAGAGGGAGUGGGUAGUGGCGUACACAUGACCAAUGGUGCCCCGGUGCAAAAAUUGAUCCGUGCCCCCCCCACCCCCCCCUGGCGCGGGUCGGGGUUGCAACACAUGGUGGCGGGCACCUGGUCGCAGGGAUUGCAGGGCUGCAACCCCGCGACCGCGGUAUGCACACACACUUAAAGGACCACUACAGACACCCAGAUCACAUCAGCUCAAUGAAGUGGUCUGGGUGCCAGGUCCCUCUAGUUUUAACCCUGCAGCUGAAAACAUAGCAGUUUCAGAGAAACGGCUAUGUUUCACUGAGGGUUAAUCUAGCCUCUGGUGGCUGUCUCAUUGACAGCUGCUAGAGGAGCUUCCGCAAUUCUCACUGUGAAAAUCACAGUGAGAAGACACUGAACGUCCAUAGGAAAGCAUUGAGUAAUGCUUUCCUAUGGGCGGUUUAAAUGCGCGCGCGCCUCUUGCCGCGCAUGUGCAUUUUGGAGCUGAGUGGCGGACACUGGGGAGUCUGACGCUGGAGAAAGGUAAAUGCACACACUCUCACGAACAGACGCAUACACACUAGCUAACAGACACACAUUUACUGACAGAGACACACUCAGUGACAGACAUACAUACACACUCACUUACAAAACAUACACUUUCACUGACAAACACACACUCACUAACAGACAUCGAACACACUCAGUAACAGACACACACAGUAACACACUAACUAGCAAACACACACCCAAUAACAGACACAUUCACUGACACACACAUACACUAACACACACUCUAACACACACACUCUAACACACACACUCUAACACACACACUCUAACACACACAUACACUAACACACACUCUAACACACACUCUAACACACAAAUACACUAACACACACACACACUAACACACACACAUUUUUUUUUUCAAAUUUAAUCCCCCCAGCCUCCUUACCUUUUGGAGUGCUGGGGGAUUCCCUGGGGUCCAGUGGUGGUGCUGCUGGGCUCCUGGGCGGCAGGUCACUGUGGGCAGGUGGCCGGUCAGGCAAGCGGGCGCGCGAGGGAGAACUCACUGCUUCCUCUUCAGCUCCCUCGCGCGCCGCGUAGGUAUGCCGGCGCCGGAAGAUGACGUCAUCUUCCGGCUCCGGCAUCAGUGCGGUGCGCGAGGGAGCUGAAGAGGAAGCAGUGAGUGCUCCCUCGCGCGCCCGCUUGCCUGACCGGCCACCUGCCCGGUGACAGCAGGGCCAGCCUCGGGGGGGCCUGAGGUGACCGGCUCCUGGGCCCCCCCAGGGGAAGAGGCUGGCCCUGUGGCUACAUACCGGGUCGCAGGGGCGGCCGGGCCGCGACCCCUGCGACCCUGGUAUGUACGCCACUGGGAGUGGGGUAUAGUGACACAGUAACAGAGGGAUUGAGGGCUUGCUUAAAUGUUAGAGGGAGUGGGGUAUAGUGACACAGUAACAGAUGGAUUGAGGGCCCUGCUCAGUGAGUUUACAUGUUAGAGGGAGUGGGGUAUAGUGACACAGUAACAGAGGGAUUGAGGGCCCUGCUCAGUGAGUUUACAUGUUAGAGGGAGUGGGGUAUAGUGACACAGUAACAGAGGGAUUGAGGGCCUGCUCAGUGAGUUUA
RNAcentral lists this long non-coding RNA (4521 nucleotides) under Pelobates cultripes (western spadefoot toad). Lineage: Eukaryota; Metazoa; Chordata; Amphibia; Anura; Pelobatidae. The record is from RNAcentral.